UCUGGAAACGGAUGGUAAUACCUCAUAACAUACAGAGACCGCAUGAUCUUUGUAUCAAAGAUUUAUCACUCUGAGAUGGGCUCGCGUCUGAUUAGAUAGUUGGUGAGGUAACGGCUCACCAAGUCGACGAUCAGUAGCCGGACUGAGAGGUUGAACGGCCACAUUGGGACUGAGACACGGCCCAGACUCCUACGGGAGGCAGCAGUGGGGAAUAUUGCACAAUGGGGGAAACCCUGAUGCAGCGAUGCCGCGUGGAGGAAGAAGGUUUUCGGAUUGUAAACUCCUGUCUUAAAAAGG
Molecule: ribosomal RNA, 297 nt
Filed under: uncultured rumen bacterium
Lineage: Bacteria
Description: partial 16S ribosomal RNA
Rfam family: Bacterial small subunit ribosomal RNA
Source: RNAcentral